CUGCAGAUUCUACUGCGUCCCGCAGAUUCUACUGGAUCCCGCAGAUUCUACUGGAUCCUGCAGAUUCUACUGCGUCCUGCAGAUUCUACUGCGUCCUGCAGAUUCUACUGCGUCCCGCAGAUUCUACUGGAUCCUGCAGAUUCUACUGCGUCCUGCAGAUUCUACUGCGUCCUAAAAUGUUCUACUGCGUCCCGCAGAUUCUACUGCGUCCUGCAGAUUCUACUGCGUCCUGCAGAUUCUACUGCGUCCUGCAGAUUCUACUGCGUCCCGCAGAUUCUACUGCGUCCUGCAGAUUCUACUGGAUCCUGCAGAUUCUACCGCGUCCCGCAGAUUCUACUGCGUCCCGCAGAUUCUACUGCGUCCCGCAGAUUCUACCGCGUCCUAAAAUGUUCUACUGCGUCCCGCAGAGUUCUACCGCAUCCCUCAGAUUCUACCGCGUCCCGCAGAUUCUACUGAGUUCUACCGCAUCCCGCAGAUUCUACUGUGUCAUGCAGAUUCUACUGCGUCCUGCAGAUUCUACCGCGUCCUGCAGAGUUUUACCGCGUCCUGCAGAGUUCUACUGCGUCCUGCAGAGUUCUACCGCGUCCUAAAAUGUUUUACUGCGUCCUGCAGAUUCUACCGCGUCCUGCAGAUUCUACUGCGUCCUGCAGAUUCUACUGCGUCAUGCAGAGUUCUACCGCGUCCUGCAGAUUCUACUGCGUCCUGCAGAGUUCUACCGCGUCCUAAAAUGUUUUACUGCGUCCCGCAGAUUCUACCGCGUCCUGCAGAUUCUACUGCGUCCUGCAGAUUCUACUGCGUCCUGCAGAUUCUACUGCGUCCUGCAGAGUUCUACCGCGUCCUAAAAUGUUUUACUGCGUCCUGCAGAUUCUACUGGGUCCUGCAGAUUCUACUGCGUCCUGCAGAGUUCUACUGCGUCCCGCAGAGUUCUACCGCGUCCUAAAAUGUUCUACCGCAUCCCUCAGAUUCUACCGCGUCCCGCAGAUUCUACUGAGUUCUACCGCAUCCCGCAGAUUCUACUGUGUCAUGCAGAUUCUACUGCGUCCUGCAGAUUCUACCGCGUCCUGCAGAGUUCUACCGCGUCCUGCAGAGUUCUACUGCGUCCUGCAGAGUUCUACCUCGUCCUGCAGAUUCUACUGCGUCCUGCAGAGUUCUACCGCGUCCUAAAAUGUUUUACUGCGUCCUGCAGAUUCUACCGCGUCCUGCAGAUUCUACUGCGUCCUGCAGAUUCUACUGCGUCAUGCAGAUUCUACCGCGUCCCGCAGAUUCUACUGCGUCCUGCAGAUUCUACGUCAUUUCUGCGUCAUGCAGAUUCCACUGCGUCCUGCAGAUUCUACUGCGUCCUGCAGAUUCUACUGCGUCCUGCAGAUUCUACUGCGUCCCGCAGAUUCCACUGCGUCCUGCAGAUUCUACUGCGUCCUGCAGAGUUCUACUGCGUCCUGCAGAGUUCUACUGCGUCCCGCAGAUUCUACCGCGUCCCACAGAGUUCUACCGCAUCCCGCAGAUUCUACUGCGUUAGAGUUCUACCGCGUCCCGCAGAUUCUACUGCGUCCUGCAGAUUCUACUGCGUCCCGCAGAUUCCACUGCGUCCUGCAGAUUUUACUGCGUCCUGCAGAGUUCUACUGCGUCCUGCAGAGUUCUACUGCGUCCCGCAGAUUCUACCGCGUCCCGCAGAGUUCUACCGCGUCCCGCAGAUUCUACUGAGUUCUACCGCAUCCCGCAGAUUCUACUGCGUCCCGCAGAGUUCUACCGCGUCCCGCAGAGUUCUACCGCGUCCCGCAGAUUCUACUGAGUUCUACCGCAUCCCGCAGAUUCUACUGAGUUCUACCGCGUCCCGCAGAGUUCAACCGCGUCCCGCAGAUUCUACUGAGUUCUACCGCAUCCCGCAGAGUUCUACCGCGUCCCGCAGAUUCUACUGAGUUCUACCGCGUCCCGCAGAGUUCUACCGCGUCCCGCAGAUUCUACUGAGUUCUACCGCAUCCCGCAGAGUUCUACCGCGUCCCGCAGAUUCUACUGAGUUCUACCGCAUCCCGCAGAGUUCUACUGCAUCCCGCAGAUUCUACUGCGUCAUGCAGAUUCUAAUGCGUCAUGCAGAUUCUACCGCGUCCCUCUUUCUGCAGAUUCUACUGCGUCCCGCAGAUUCUACUGCGUCCUGCAGAUUCUACUGCGUCCUGCAGAUUCUACUGCGCCCUGCAGAGUUCUACUGCGUCCUGCAGAUUCUACUGCGUCCUGCAGAUUCUACUGCGUCCUGCAGAGUUGCAGAUUCUACUGCGUCCUGCAGAGUUCUACUGCGUCCUGCAGAGUUCUACUGCGGCCUGCAGUGGGCGGGGCUUCCCGGCAUCUGUCAUCACUUUCCAUCUUUGCUGUAAAAACGGCUCAAAUCCAGAUUGGUCUCCUGGCAUUCAGUGAAUCUCGACCUCUCCCCAUUCCUCUGUAGCACCACACCUCGGUCACAAUUGCUUACCUGUCAGUACUUCAAAUUGCCCCUCCUGCCUUGAUUGCCACCGCAAAUAUUCCCCCUUUCACCCAGCCGUCAGUGAAUGUUAUCUAACCGGCUCUCACGCCCACAUUUGUCCUUUGAGUACGUUCCUCAGAAGACGCUGCCGCAUCCAUCACUCAGCAGGUUUUAGUGCAAACAUCACGGAGAAAGAAACACUUUCCUGGUGAGAGCUGUCGAUCCAGCCGGGCCUGAUCUGCUAACCUGCAGGGACCACGAGUCCUGCGUCUGCACGCCGGGUCCGGGCUCAAACCCUGGAUAUCUACAGUGUUUCUGCCAUCACAUAAAUCUGAAGCUGGUUCUGGGUUUAGAUGCAGAUUCAGACCUGGACUAGUUCCCCGUCCAGGUGAGCGGAACCAAGCAGCACAACUGCUGCGGGUCAGGUGGCUCUGACCUGGUUCUUCGUGUGCAUGCAGGUUCGGGUGUGAGUCUUGACACAGGUUUGGAAUGGGAGUGGAGGAGAGGGAGUGUGAUCCAGGAGAAAACAGCAAUGGACUUUGG
Oryzias javanicus (javanese ricefish) is the source of this 2995-nucleotide long non-coding RNA. Lineage: Eukaryota; Metazoa; Chordata; Actinopteri; Beloniformes; Adrianichthyidae. The record is from Ensembl.